GCUGGGCGGGCUGAUGUGCAUCUAAAAAUAAACAUGGUCUGCAUGGGUUCCUACGAUCUCUGUCCUGCAUAGUGGAUUAUAUUUCAAAGGGAUUUUUUUAAAUCGUUUUCAAGAAAGUGAGCCUAGGUAAACCUGGCGACUAACUAUACUGUAGCAGUUGCUGAUAUUCAUUCCUAUGGAAAAAGGACAGCUUCUUUGGCCCGAAAUUUCAAAACAAGGUUAAAGCCAUCAGAAGCAGGUUGAGGGAGUUCCCGUCGUGGUGCAGCAGAAUGACUCCAACUAGGAACCAUGAGGUUGCAGAUUCAGUUAAAUCUGAGAAGAUCUGAGAAGGUGAUAGCGAACCUGCAUCUCUAACAAGCUGCCCAAUGAUGCCUGAUGCACCUGGACCCCUCGUACCUUUUAGGCUGUAAGCCAUGGGGUGCAAUGGAGAUAUUUCAGGAUCAGACAUGAUUAGAAUUGCAUUUUCCAAAGAACCAUGUAGCAGGGUGUGGAGGGCGGGAUGGAAGGAGACAGGGCUGGGGUAUGAUACAGAAAUGGCAAGAAAUUUUGAGCAUCUGAACUAAAUAAGUUAGGAAAGAACAGUCAACACGCCAAGAAACAGGUGCAAAUUGACUGGUAUGGAGUUGCUCUAAAACAUUUCUCCCAGAGGAAAGGUCGCUUGUGAGGUCAAAAGUGAAACAAUAAAUCCUAAGAGGCUUUUUAAAAUCAGAGAAACAUGUAGCAUUAUUUGAAUCAGCCUAGACACCCCCCACAGCUCUGCAUCUCCUUGAACACUUCAUCUCGAGCCCCAGUAAUAACUGGAAAAAAGCAAAAUCCCUGUAGGUAAUGACCACAAGAGAAUAAAGACAAUCAGCCAUCUCCAUCCUCACUUGAAAGACCUUGUCACUACUUGCAUCUUGUUUCAGGACACUUCAGAGAGAAUGAUUAUUUCAUAACAAAUUCUGGAAAAUCACAAGGCGGUCCACCUGAACACAGGGAGCCUUCAAUGCUUUUGACUGACAGGAGCCGAAAUUAGAAACACCAAUGUAUAUUCCCUGUUAGAAAAUCCUUUAACUGAAAGACUCAGAAAAAAAAAAAAAAAUCAAGACCCGUGGCUACAUCUACCUUGUUGAAAAAGCAAAGACAGUCCCCUUUUUUCUCUUAGAAGCCCCCGAAUGCAGCUUCUGAUGGGAUCUGUCUUCCCAAGCAAAAAACAAUCAGCCUCAGGUUCCCUGUCCUAGGCUGCUUGGCAUUCUUUCUCCAAAGAGGUACAAAUCUUUCUCCAAAGGUGACCCAAAGUCCACCUCCCCUCUCACUGUGUUUCUUCACGGUCCUGUAAACGAGUGCAUGUCCACCAGACACGCAGGUGAAAAGCAUGCAGCCAACUAGAAAAAACCAUAUGGACACACGCGUCUGCUUCAACAAAUGAACCAAAGAGAAAAGGGCAGCAGACCUACCUUUCUCUUCGGUGCGGUGCAGGCUCCUGAAAUUUAACCCUGGACCGAAAAGCUUCCCAGCAGGCAGU
RNAcentral lists this long non-coding RNA (1504 nucleotides) under Sus scrofa (pig). RNAcentral describes it as "lncRNA (ENSSSCG00060070395.1, ENSSSCG00165030208.1, ENSSSCG00190039143.1)". Lineage: Eukaryota; Metazoa; Chordata; Mammalia; Artiodactyla; Suidae. The record is from RNAcentral.